UACGUAGGAUCCGAGCGUUGUCCGGAAUUACUGGGUGUAAAGGGCGUGUAGGUGGGUUUCCAAGUCGGUGGUGAAAGCCUGCAGCUUAACUGCAGAAUUGCCCUCGAUACUGGAGAUCUUGAGUGCGGCAGAGGGAGAUGGAAUUCAUGGUGUAGCGGUGAAAUGUGUAGAUAUCAUGAAGAACACCGGUAGCGAAGGCGGUCUCCUGGUCCGCAACUGACACUGAGGCGCGAAAGCGUGGGGAGCAAACAGG
This 253-nucleotide ribosomal RNA is filed under the name uncultured bacterium. RNAcentral's name for it is "partial 16S ribosomal RNA". It matches the Rfam family "Bacterial small subunit ribosomal RNA", at positions 524 to 776 of the family's 1533-position model. The record is from RNAcentral.